RNAcentral lists this non-coding RNA (20 nucleotides) under Arabidopsis thaliana (thale cress). Lineage: Eukaryota; Viridiplantae; Streptophyta; Magnoliopsida; Brassicales; Brassicaceae. The record is from RNAcentral.
GAUAGCUAGUGUUCGUAGGC